CAAUAGCGUAUAUUUAAGUUGUUGCAGUUAAAAAGCUCGUAGUUGGAUUUCGGAUGGGACUUGCCGGUCCGUCGUUUCGAUGUGCACUGGCCAGUCCUAUCUUGUUGUCGGGGACUAGCUCCUGGGCUUCACUGUCCGGGACUAGGAGCUGACGAGGUUACUUUGAGUAAAUUAGAGUGUUCAAAGCAAGCCUACGCUCUGAAUACAUUAGCAUGGAAUAACACGAUAGGACUCUGGCUUAUCUUGUUGGUCUGUGAGACCAGAGUAAUGAUUAAGAGGGACAGUCGGGGGCAUUCGUAUUUCAUUGUCAGAGGUGAAAUUCUUGGAUCUAUGAAAGACGAACUUCUGCGAAAGCAUUUGUCAAGGAUGUUUUCAUUAG
Molecule: ribosomal RNA, 379 nt
Filed under: uncultured eukaryote
Lineage: Eukaryota
Description: partial 18S ribosomal RNA
Rfam family: Eukaryotic small subunit ribosomal RNA
Source: RNAcentral